CUGCCAGUGAUAAGCAAUAAAUUACAUUAGUCUCCCUAUGCUGAGUCUGUUUUGCCUGUGCCAGUAAUGGGUGAGUGAUUUCCUGUCAUUCUCUCAACCCUUGAACCUGCUCUGUCAUAUUUUCUCCCUUUUCUCCUUUGAGGAGUUGAGAGAGUGGUUGUGGUAGAGUUCAGCUGCCCAUCAGGAUAAAACUACCACACCAACUCAGUGAAAAAUUAUAGACAAUGACAAAAAAAAUCCAGCAUUUAGCCAUUUAAAUGCCAGAAUCUUGAAGACCCAGACAAGGACUUUGAAGUUUAGUUUGUCCAACCCCAUUACUGAGCAGAGCUAUGAAUAAGAAGUAGCACUUGCUGAACAAGUUAUGGCAUUGAAAGGAGAACCAAGUCAGGGCUGAUGCCAGAACAGUAAAAGGUCUCUUGGAACAAGAGUGAAUAAAGACCUCUUCAGAUGAACAGCCAUAUCAGAAGCGACACCAGUGACAGCUCCUGAUCAGUGUCUUACAAGCUAAAAUAUCCACUGCCGGAUGCUUUCCACACUCUUUGGAAAGGUGGAAAACUUCUACUUUCAGGUGGAAAAUACAGUUCAAGUGAAAAUUCUCAACAUGUUUCCUGGAUACUAUCUCCAUAUGCCUUCCACGUCUAAUUUUAAGGUGCAUGUAAGGUACAUCGGUUAACUUUAUUGUCGCCUUCUGCGACACUUGUUUCAUCUCAUCAUCGCCAAAGGUUAGUGGGCAGACGCUACUCACUGCUGCCAUCUAAUGGUACAGAACCCAUCCAAAGUGCUCAGCGAAACAACAGGGGAAGUUUCUUAGAAAUUUCUCAAUUUCACAGGUGCUUGAAAGCUUAGAAAGGUGUGUUUCUGACCACUUUAAGUUUUAAAAUGUUUCUUUGAGAACUGAAAACAAAAGUCAGUACGAUUUUCUGAGGAAAGCAAAGAUUUCCUGCAAAAUCCAUUUCAGUUUCUGCACAUUCUAAAACAGCAAUUUCAAUGAGAUCUAGCCUAGAUAUAUGUAGAAAAGCAAAAUAGAUGAUAGAUGUAAGAUAAACUGGAAAACAAGAUAUAAAAUAGUUGCCACUUUUUGAUGUAUAUAAAUAAAAUAAUAGUUUUUAUUUUAGUCCA
Molecule: long non-coding RNA, 1119 nt
Filed under: Anas platyrhynchos platyrhynchos (common mallard)
Lineage: Eukaryota; Metazoa; Chordata; Aves; Anseriformes; Anatidae
Description: lncRNA (ENSAPLG00000025764.1)
Source: RNAcentral